UGAGAUUCUUUGUUAGGAGACACAAUCU
Molecule: non-coding RNA, 28 nt
Filed under: Rattus norvegicus (Norway rat)
Lineage: Eukaryota; Metazoa; Chordata; Mammalia; Rodentia; Muridae
Source: RNAcentral